RNAcentral lists this ribosomal RNA (558 nucleotides) under Etmopterus spinax (velvet belly lantern shark). RNAcentral's name for it is "partial 16S ribosomal RNA". It matches the Rfam family "Bacterial large subunit ribosomal RNA", at positions 1845 to 2596 of the family's 2925-position model. Lineage: Eukaryota; Metazoa; Chordata; Chondrichthyes; Squaliformes; Etmopteridae. The record is from RNAcentral.
AUAAGAGGUCCCGCCUGCCCUGUGACAAUGUUUAACGGCCGCGGUAUUUUGACCGUGCGAAGGUAGCGUAAUCACUUGUCUUUUAAAUGAAGACCCGUAUGAAAGGCAUCACGAGAGUUUAACUGUCUCUAUUUUCUAAUCAAUGAAAUUGAUCUUCUCGUGCAGAAGCGAGAAUAUACACAUUAGACGAGAAGACCCUAUGGAGCUUUAAACACUUAAAUUAAUUAUGUAAAACUAUUAAUCUACGGAGAUAAACUAUCUAUAUAAUACUCCUAAUUUAACUGUUUUUGGUUGGGGCGACCGAGGGGAAAAGAAAAUCCCCCUCAUCGAUUGAGUACUCAGUACUUAAAAAUUAGAACGACAGUUCUUAUUAAUAAAAUAUUUAACGAAAAAUGACCCAGUUUUUCUGAUCAAUGAACCAAGUUACCCUAGGGAUAACAGCGCAAUCCUUUCCAAGAGUCCAUAUCGCCGAAAGGGUUUACGACCUCGAUGUUGGAUCAGGACAUCCUAAUAGUGCAACCGUUAUUAAGGGUUCGUUUGUUCAACGAUUAACAGUCC